AUUGCUUCUCGGCCUUUUGGCUAAGAUCAAGUGUAGUAUAAGUCUUUUACAAUACCUUUUAUCUGAUUUAUGGUUUGCAGAGAUUUUCCCCAGUCAAUAGUUUGCCUGUUCAUUUUGUUUGUCUGUGCAGAACAUUUU
Small nuclear RNA from Heterocephalus glaber (naked mole-rat), 138 nucleotides. Its record names the gene U2. It matches the Rfam family "U2 spliceosomal RNA". From Rfam's summary of the family: U2 is a small nuclear RNA (snRNA) component of the spliceosome (involved in pre-mRNA splicing). Complementary binding between U2 snRNA (in an area lying towards the 5' end but 3' to hairpin I) and the branchpoint sequence (BPS) of the intron results the bulging out of an unpaired adenosine, on the BPS, which initiates a nucleophilic attack at the intronic 5' splice site, thus starting the first of two transesterification reactions that mediate splicing. NCBI's taxonomy places the organism in Eukaryota, Metazoa, Chordata, Mammalia, Rodentia, Bathyergidae. The record is from Ensembl.